GACGAACGCUGGCGGCGUGCUUAACACAUGCAAGUCGAGCGGUAAGGCCCUUUCGGGGGUACACGAGCGGCGAACGGGUGAGUAACACGUGGGUGACCUCGCCCUCCAGCGUCUGGGAUAAAGCCUGGGAAACUGGGUCUAAUACUGGAUAUGACUCCACGGUGCAUGUCGUGGGGUGGAAAGCCUUGUGCGGCUGAGGAUGGGCCCGCGGCCUAUCAGCUUGUUGGUGGGGNGAUGGCCUACCAAGGCGACGACGGGUAGCCGGCCUGAGAGGGCGACCGGCCACACUGGGACUGAGACACGGCCCAGACUCCUACGGGAGGGCAGCAGUGGGGAAUCUUGCGCAAUGGGCGAAAGCCUGACGCAGCGACGCCGCGUGAGGGAUGACGGCCUGGUGUAA
Molecule: ribosomal RNA, 400 nt
Filed under: uncultured bacterium
Lineage: Bacteria
Description: bacterial SSU rRNA
Rfam family: Bacterial small subunit ribosomal RNA
Source: RNAcentral